AGCAGCCGCGGUAAUUCCAGCUCCAAUAGCGUAUAUUAAAGUUGUUGCAGUUAAAAAGCUCGUAGUUGAAUUUCGAGACCGGUUUACUGGUCGUGCUUUUGUACGUACUGGUAUUAUUGGUUUCUCCUUUCUGACGAACUAUAAUGCCAUUAAUUUGGUGUUAUGGGAAGUUAGGACUGUUACUUUGAAAAAAU
Molecule: ribosomal RNA, 194 nt
Filed under: uncultured Entrophospora
Lineage: Eukaryota; Fungi; Glomeromycota; Glomeromycetes; Entrophosporales; Entrophosporaceae
Description: uncultured Claroideoglomus partial 18S ribosomal RNA
Rfam family: Eukaryotic small subunit ribosomal RNA
Source: RNAcentral